RNAcentral lists this ribosomal RNA (538 nucleotides) under uncultured eukaryote. RNAcentral describes it as "eukaryotic LSU rRNA". It matches the Rfam family "Eukaryotic large subunit ribosomal RNA", at positions 694 to 1215 of the family's 3401-position model. The record is from RNAcentral.
GAGAAUUUAAAAACUAUAAGGCGAAAUGAAAGUGAUUAAUUUAUUAAAUUUGGGUUUAAGACUCAUUUUGAAAUAAAGACUAGUUAAAUUUAGGUUUAAUUAAGUUUAAGCAUAUAUGAUGGGACCCGAAAGAUGAUGAACUAUGCUUGAACAGAGUGAAGUCAGGGGAAACUCUGGUGGAGGCUCGUAGCGAUACUGACGUGCAAAUCGUUCGUCUGAUUUGAGUAUAGGGGCGAAAAGACUAAUCGAAUCAUCUGGUAGCUGGUUUUCUCCGAAAUUUCCCUCAGGAUAGCUGACAUUGAUAAUGUACAAUUUUAUAACGUAAAGCGCAUGAUUAGAAGUAUCUGGGUUGAAAUAAUUUAGACUGAUUCUCAAACUUUUGAAGUCGUAAGAAUUAAUAGUACCAUUUUGAUCUAUACUAUUAAUUAAAUGGAACAAAUGUUUAAGUUGGGCCAUUUUUGGUAAGUCAGAACUGGCGAUGCGGGAUGAACCGAAAGUUAAGUAAAAGUGUCGAAAUAUAAGCUAAUUUAGAUAUCAU